ACCGGUGAUUAUAGCGAAGAGGGUACACCCGUUCCCAUCCCGAACACGGAAGUUAAGCUCUUCAGCUCCGAUGAUACUGUGUGGGCAACUGCAUGGGAAAAUAGGAAGUCGCCGUUU
Molecule: ribosomal RNA, 117 nt
Filed under: Chloroflexota bacterium
Lineage: Bacteria; Bacillati; Chloroflexota
Source: RNAcentral